AAUGAAGUUGAGUGCUUGCAUUUAACUGAUUUGACAUUAAGACGAGUGGCGAACUGGUGAGUAACACGUGGGUAACUUGCCCCGAAGCGGGGGAUAACAUUUGGAAACAGGUGCUAAUACCGCAUAACAACAAAAACCACAUGGUUUUUGUUUAAAAGAUGGUUUCGGCUAUCACUUUGGGAUGGACCCGCGGCGUAUUAGCUAGUUGGUGAGGUAAUGGCUCACCAAGGCAAUGAUACGUAGCCGACCUGAGAGGGUAAUCGGCCACAUUGGGACUGAGACACGGCCCAAACUCCUACGGGAGGCAGCAGUAGGGAAUCUUCCACAAUGGACGAAAGUCUGAUGGAGCAACGCCGCGUGAGUGAUGAAGGGUUUCGGCUCGUAAAACUCUGUUGUUGGAGAAGAACGGGUGUCAGAGUAACUGUUGACAUCGUGACGGUAUCCAACCAGAAAGCCACGGNUAACUACGUGCCACAGGCGGGGUAANUACAA
Molecule: ribosomal RNA, 492 nt
Filed under: Lactobacillus vermiforme
Lineage: Bacteria; Bacillati; Bacillota; Bacilli; Lactobacillales; Lactobacillaceae
Description: bacterial SSU rRNA
Rfam family: Bacterial small subunit ribosomal RNA
Source: RNAcentral